This is a long non-coding RNA of Harmonia axyridis, 1105 nucleotides long. RefSeq lists it as uncharacterized. The record is from RefSeq and is a predicted model, not a curated record. NCBI's taxonomy places the organism in Eukaryota, Metazoa, Arthropoda, Insecta, Coleoptera, Coccinellidae. The transcript has 2 exons.
AAUUAUGUUUCUAAGUGAUCCGAGACCGUUGUUUUUUUUUUUUGUUAUCAUGAUGUUGUUCACUCAUAAUUCAUGUCAAAAAUUGAGUCUAUUUUGUAAGCGUUAUGCGCCAUUGGAGGCAGUAGCAGUAGUAGAAAAAAUCAGAUGUGUAAUUUUUUCGAAUGGUUCCAAACUCGAUUUCCAACAUUCAUCAAAAGAAAUGAUAAUUAUCACAUUUCAUCAAUAUUCAUUUGCAAAACAAGAAUUGGACAGAUGCACUGAAUUCAAGACUUAUCUUAAAGAAAGUAAAUUACAUCAACAAACCAAAUGAUAUCAUUUUAAUUCAAUUAACCUUGAAUGGCUCAUAACUAUAGUGUAAAUAUUGUCAUACUCUCAAUAUUCAUGUUUAUAUACUGAAUUCCCUCAAAAAGAUAACAUCAUUUGAAUAACAAAAAAUAUUUAUGAGGUAAGUUCCACUCGAUAUUUCUCAGAAGAAGCUAUCGAACAAAAUGUACAAGGGACUUCACCGAGCAUUUGCAGCACUUCCUGCACUAUAAACACCUAACACCAAUGCUGUUAAUUUCAUUCAACAGUUAUCUUUCGAAAAUUAUAGUGGAAAUCAAAUACACCGCAAAAUGGUUGGAAAGUUUAUGAUUCAAUUUUUCAUGCUGUCACUUCUACUUUUGGCUAAUUUCAUAGCUCCAAGUUAUGGAGGGGGAUUUCAACAACAUGCCGAAAGGGGACCUUUCGGAGGGGGUUCUAAACCAUCUCAUGGAGCCGGAAGAUUAGGAGGAAAUAAUAAUAAUAUAGGAAGGGGAGGAAAUAGACAUUUUUGAUUCAUAGAAAUCAUAUAUGAAGGAGCUCAUCAAAUCAAAUUACACUGUAAUAUUAUAGUCUGAUAAUACUGCCCAUCGAAUUGUUUUAAUGAAAAAUAUAAAUAUAUUUUCUACAUAAAUGUAAUUGAAAAUCAAAAAAUUGCUUCACUGCUACCUCUGUAAUAUUCCUUAGUCAGUACCUAAUGAGUGGUAUUUCAGUAAAUGCAAGUUAUAAACGGAAAUUGGGUGUUUUGAAUUUUUAUCAAUUUUGUUUGAUUACUGCAUUUGAAAUUAAAGAGUGAAGAAAUCUA